GGUGGGGCGGGGCCAGUUAAGGAGCGGAGGAGCCUGACUUCCGGGGCGGGGCCUUUGUUUCCUCAACCUGCGAAACAAAGACCGACCACGUAAGGAAGCGCGGUGCCACGGGAGUGUCCUUUCACCUUCAGCUUCAAAGGACUUGGGCAAGAGUGGAUAGAAGCAGCAGCAAGUCCAUAAACAGCAGCAGGACAGUACGAUCCCUGCACUCCAAAAUAGGACAAAGAGCUUUAUGUGCUAAACUAGACAAAGGAGCUGUAAAGGUAUCUUGGAUCACCUACAUUGCUGUCCUACGUGCUUCAAAUAUCAGGGGAGGCAGAGACAGCAUGAGAUCAAAAACUCUGGGCAAAGGAUCAGACCCACCCACUGGCGUCACUUCUCCCACCACAUCUGGCCAUCCCGGAAUGCCCCAUCUGUGAGCUACUGACCUCACCAUCCAUCUGGACUACAAAAGACACAGGGAAGCGUCUCGCAGGCGAUUUGAUAGUUUAGGCAAUGAUCUCCCCGUGUUGGACACCAUCUCGCUUGAGGAGCUCUCUUCAAAGGGGCACCUUCCACUGCAGUGAGGUUUUGCUUCCCACGAGGACUGCUUCCACCCUAACUUGAGCACUUAGAUUUUAAUCAUCUUGGGACUCACUAGUAUCUCCUGCAAGAUUCAAAAACCCAAAAAGGGAAAACUGUCUUUGUAUAUCAAUCAACCAUAUGAUUCGUGAAAUUCUACUUUCACGAUCUCCUUAUUUUAACCAUGAAAAUGAAUCUACAACUGAAAAAACUCAAGAAAAUAUUACAAGAGUACUAUAGUUUAGCAGUUGCUUAAAUUGUUAUCUUUUGCAGACAUUUUAAUUUCACUGUAUUAUAUAUUUAUUAUAAAAAUUCAUUUAGUAGUUACUGGACAAUUACUUACACAGAAUAUCUCAUCAAACUGUCAUAAAAACCAAAGUUCAGUUAGGCAGACAUAAAAAGUAUGAAUUAGUAGCUGUGCUUCUUUUUAUCCUGUAGGAAUCUGUAAGUAUUAACAAGAUUAUGAAACCAGCAAUUGCUUCAGAGGUCAUUUUUAUUAGCCA
Chinchilla lanigera (long-tailed chinchilla) is the source of this 1064-nucleotide long non-coding RNA. RefSeq lists it as uncharacterized. Lineage: Eukaryota; Metazoa; Chordata; Mammalia; Rodentia; Chinchillidae. The transcript has 6 exons. The record is from RefSeq and is a predicted model, not a curated record.